Oryza sativa Japonica Group (Japanese rice) is the source of this 493-nucleotide non-coding RNA. The record is from RefSeq and is a predicted model, not a curated record. Lineage: Eukaryota; Viridiplantae; Streptophyta; Magnoliopsida; Poales; Poaceae.
GCCUUUCAGCCCUCUUGCUUUAGUUUGUUGAUCCCCGACUAAAUCUCAUUGGAAAACAAGCUAGAAAACAUGGAAGGAGUGAAGAGUUUGAUCAUGUGUAUGCUAGUGCUAGGCUUAGUCCUGCAACAAGAGAAGAUCCAGGUGGAAGCAAAGAGUUGUUGCCCAUCCACCACAGCAAGAAACGUCUAUAACUCAUGCCGUUUCGCGGGUGGCUCAAGAGACACCUGUGCUAAACUUUCUGGCUGCAAAAUUGUUGAUGGGAAUUGCAAGCCUCCUUACGUUCACCAUACCCUUCACCCUGAAGCUGAGGAAUCGGAGGUACUUGACUUCUGCAAGCUGGGAUGUGCUUCGUCUGUGUGCAGCACCAUGAGCACUCUUUCUAGCAAUGAAGAAGCGAAUUAUGCCGUCGAUCGUUGCAACGAUGCAUGCCACCGCUUCUGUACCAAGGAAGCUGAGACUGUCACCGUUGUUUCCUAAGCAAGUGCAACAUGCA